RNAcentral lists this non-coding RNA (148 nucleotides) under Streptomyces alboflavus. The record is from RNAcentral. Lineage: Bacteria; Bacillati; Actinomycetota; Actinomycetes; Kitasatosporales; Streptomycetaceae.
CAACUGUGCUCUAAUUCGGCCGAUUCCAAGCUCAGUCAUCAGGGGAAGCCGGUCGAAAUCCGGCGCUGACCCGCAACCGUAGGUUCGCCGAGCACCUCAAGUACCCGGCGGGCGAGCCGGAUUACCUGGACUGAGGGCUAGCGAUUGA